GUGUCUAUAGCCUAGUGGUAAAGGGUAGUGUCUUGGAUAUCAUUCUGGGGUUGUGGGUUUGAAUCACACCAGACACA
Cronartium quercuum f. sp. fusiforme G11 is the source of this 77-nucleotide non-coding RNA. The record is from the annotation of a GenBank genome assembly. NCBI's taxonomy places the organism in Eukaryota, Fungi, Basidiomycota, Pucciniomycetes, Pucciniales, Coleosporiaceae.